CCUACGGGAGGCAGCAGUGAGGAAUAUUGGACAAUGGGCGCAAGCCUGAUCCAGCCAUGCCGCGUGCAGGAAGACGGUCCUAUGGAUUGUAAACUGCUUUUAUACAGGAAGAAACACCUCUACGUGUAGAGACUUGACGGUACUGUAUGAAUAAGCAUCGGCUAACUCCGUGCCAGCAGCCGCGGUAAUACGGAGGAUGCAAGCGUUAUCCGGAAUCAUUGGGUUUAAAGGGUCCGUAGGCGGUUUAAUAAGUCAGUGGUGAAAGCCCAUCGCUCAACGAUGGAACGGCCAUUGAUACUGUUAAACUUGAAUUAUUAGGAAGUAACUAGAAUAUGUAGUGUAGCGGUGAAAUGCUUAGAGAUUACAUGGAAUACCAAUUGCGAAGGCAGGUUACUACUAAUAUAUUGACGCUGAUGGACGAAAGCGUGGGGAGCGAACAGGAUUAGGUACCCUGGUAGUCCACGCCGUAAACGAUGGAUACUAGCUGUUCGGAGCAAUCUGAGUGGCUAAGCGAAAGUGAUAAGUAUCCCACCUGGGGAGUACGUUCGCAAGAAGAGAAGACAAANAGAAGUUAGAGACGUGAGAGAGACGACGGACGACGACGAGGGGAGGAGG
Molecule: ribosomal RNA, 615 nt
Filed under: uncultured bacterium
Lineage: Bacteria
Description: bacterial SSU rRNA
Rfam family: Bacterial small subunit ribosomal RNA
Source: RNAcentral